UGGGGAAUAUUGGACAAUGGGGGGAACCCUGAUCCAGCGACGCCGCGUGAGUGAAGAAGUAUUUCGGUAUGUAAAGCUCUAUCAGCAGGGAAGAAAAUGACGGUACCUGACUAAGAAGCCCCGGCUAACUACGUGCCAGCAGCCGCGGUAAUACGUAGGGGGCAAGCGUUAUCCGGAUUUACUGGGUGUAAAGGGAGCGCAGACGGUUUUGCAAGUCUGAAGUGAAAGCCCGAGGCUUAACCUCGGAGUUGCUUUGGAAACUGUAUAACUAGAGUAUCGGAGAGGUAAGUGGAAUUCCUAGUGUAGCGGUGAAAUUCGUAGAUAUGUGUAGGAAUGCCGAUGAUGAAGAUAACUCACUGGACAGCAACUGACGCUGAAGUGCGAAAGCUAGGGGAGCAAACAGG
Molecule: ribosomal RNA, 404 nt
Filed under: Verrucomicrobiota bacterium
Lineage: Bacteria; Pseudomonadati; Verrucomicrobiota
Description: Verrucomicrobia bacterium partial 16S ribosomal RNA
Rfam family: Bacterial small subunit ribosomal RNA
Source: RNAcentral